CCUACGGGAGGCAGCAGUCGAGAAUCAUUCACAAUGGGGGAAACCCUGAUGGUGCGACGCCGCGUGGGGGAAUGAAGGUCUUCGGAUUGUAAACCCCUGUCAUGUGGGAGCAAAUUAAAAAGAUAGUACCACAAGAGGAAGAGACGGCUAACUCUGUGCCAGCAGCCGCGGUACUACAGAGGUCUCAAGCGUUGUUCGGAAUCACUGGGCGUAAAGCGUGCGUAGGCUGUUUCGUAAGUCGUGUGUGAAAGGCGCGGGCUCAACCCGCGGACGGCACAUGAUACUGCGAGACUAGAGUAAUGGAGGGGGAACCGGAAUUCUCGGUGUAGUAGGGAAAUGCGUAGAUAUCGAGAGGAACACUCGUGGCGAAGGCGGGUUCCUGGACAUUAACUGACGCUGAGGCACGAAGGCCAGGGGAGCGAAAGGGAUUAGAUACCCGUGUAGUC
Molecule: ribosomal RNA, 446 nt
Filed under: uncultured bacterium
Lineage: Bacteria
Description: partial 16S ribosomal RNA
Rfam family: Bacterial small subunit ribosomal RNA
Source: RNAcentral